Nicotiana tabacum (common tobacco) is the source of this 994-nucleotide long non-coding RNA. RefSeq lists it as uncharacterized. The record is from RefSeq and is a predicted model, not a curated record. Lineage: Eukaryota; Viridiplantae; Streptophyta; Magnoliopsida; Solanales; Solanaceae.
UAGCCCAUACCCCCCACUUCCCUAAAAAUGACCUAAUCCUUAACCUUUCUUCUGGAGUAAAAAAAAACCUAGGAGCUGAACCUAGAAAUCGGCAGGCCCUUCAGCCAUCUCCACAUUUUCUUCUUCAACCUUAACACACAUAAAAACUCUAAGAACACCCUUAGCUUCUUCUGCUAGACCCUAACCAAAGACCACAAAAAAUGGGCAGACACACAAAAACAAGAGCUCCCAACGACAGCUUCUUCUUCAACCCUUGAACCACUCUAGACCGCCGCACACCCUACUGUCACCUAGCCUCAUCACCGCCAGCCACUUUACUCGCCGGAACAAGACCUUGCCGCCAUCAGUCCCUCGACCAACGAUCCUCUUUGAUUUCUGCCACUUUCCCCACCACCAAAAGUCGUCGUUCAAACCUCCACCCUAAGACACUAAAGGCAGCCGCCGGCCACCAACCUUAAUAACCUUCACACCCCUGCCGCCGCCUCGAGCCGUCUCUCCCUAACUCCCAACGAGAUCAGUUGUCCAUCCCCACAAAGAAGACUCCUAACAGAACCCCUUUUGAUUUUGAGCUCUUGUUUUGUUCUCUACUAAAAAAAACAUACCCACGCAUAGACAUAGCAGAACAAGGAGAUAGCGAGGUAGUCCGGUCAGAGUUCGACGAGGUUUUUCGGUUUAGAUCUUAUGCGUGGUUCCGUUGCUUAGCAUCGUUUAACUGUCCAACAGUCGGAUUUCAUAUCUAUUCGAGGCAUGGAUCUAUGUACCAGAACUCGAGCAUGACAGAUACCCCAGGACCAUCGCAUUUGGGAGCUUGUUUGAAGAGAUUUUUAUAUUUUGAGUCUGUUUUCAUGUUUUCUUUUACUUUCUUGUCUUGUCUAGUAGUUUUGAUUCUUUUAGGUGGUGUAAGAGUUUGCCGAGUCUUUUGUCAUCGUACUUCUCAUUUGUAUUUGAAAAAAAAUAGUUAUAAAUGAAAAUCCAAAAAGAUUUUUGUUUUUUA